AACGAACGCUGGCGGCAUGCCUAACACAUGCAAGUCGAACGAAGGCACCGGCCUUAGUGGCGUAUGGGUGUGGAACGCGUGGGAAUCUUCCCAUAGGUUCGGAAUAACUGUUAGAAUUGACUGCUAAUACGGGAUGAUGACGUAAGCCCAAAGAUUUAUCGACUGAGGAGGAGCCAGAGUAGGAUUCGCUCGUUGGUUUGGUAAUGGCGCACCAAGGCGCGGAUCCUUAGCUGGUUUGUGAGGAUGAUCAGCCACACUGGGACUGAGACACGGCCCAGACUCCUACGGGAGGCAGCAGUGGGGAAUAUUGGACAAUGGGCGCAAGCCUGAUCCAGCAAUGCCGCGUGAGUGAUGAAGGCCUUAGGGUUGUAAAGCUCUUUUACCCGUGAUGAUAAUGACAGUAGCGGGAGAAUAAGCCCCGGCUAACUCCGUG
This 433-nucleotide ribosomal RNA is filed under the name uncultured bacterium. RNAcentral's name for it is "partial 16S ribosomal RNA". It matches the Rfam family "Bacterial small subunit ribosomal RNA", at positions 29 to 507 of the family's 1533-position model. The record is from RNAcentral.